AUGGGCUUAUAUGGUUCCAGCGAACCAGGAUUAGAUUCGGAAAGAUUAAUUAAUCAAUCAUACCCUGCAACCUUGGAAAUACUUUUAUAUUUUGUCUUCCUUAUUGCUUAUGCUGUCAAAUUGCCGAUUAUACCCCUACAUACGUGGUUACCGGAUACCCAUGGGGAAGCACAUUAUCGUACAUGUAUGAUUUUAACGGGGAUAUUAUUAAAGAUGGGAGCAUAUGGAUUGAUUCGGAUCAACAUGGAAUUGUUACCUCAUGCUCAUUAUCUAUUUUCGCCCUGGUUAGUAAUAAUAGGAGCGAUCCAAAUAAUCUAUGCACCUUAA
This 327-nucleotide ribosomal RNA is filed under the name Triticum aestivum (bread wheat). RNAcentral describes it as "partial small subunit ribosomal RNA". Lineage: Eukaryota; Viridiplantae; Streptophyta; Magnoliopsida; Poales; Poaceae. The record is from RNAcentral.